AGCGGCGGACGGGUGAGUAACGCGUGGGUAACCUGCCCUGUACACACGGAUAACAUACCGAAAGGUAUGCUAAUACGAGAUAAUAUGCUUUUAUCGCAUGGUAGAAGUAUCAAAGCUUUUGCGGUACAGGAUGGACCCGCGUCUGAUUAGCUAGUUGGUAAGGUAACGGCUUACCAAGGCGACGAUCAGUAGCCGACCUGAGAGGGUGAUCGGCCACAUUGGAACUGAGACACGGUCCAAACUCCUACGGGAGGCAGCAGUGGGGAAUAUUGCACAAUGGGCGAAAGCCUGAUGCAGCAACGCCGCGUGAGCGAUGAAGGCCUUCGGGUCGUAAAGCUCUGUCCUCAAGGAAGAUAAUGACGGUACUUGAGGAGGAAGCCCCGGCUAACUACGUGCCAGCAGCCGCGGUAAUACGUAGGGGGCUAGCGUUGUCCGGAAUUACUGGGCGUAAAGGGUGCGUAGGUGGUUUCUUAAGUCAGAGGUGAAAGGCUACGGCUCAACCGUAGUAAGCCUUUGAAACUGGGGAACUUGAGUGCAGGAGAGGAGAGUGGAAUUCCUAGUGUAGCGGUGAAAUGCGUAGAUAUUAGGAGGAACACCAGUUGCGAAGGCGGCUCUCUGGACUGUAACUGACACUGAGGCACGAAAGCGUGGGGAGCAAACAGGAUUAGAUACCCUGGUAGUCCACGCCGUAAACGAUGAGUACUAGCUGU
RNAcentral lists this ribosomal RNA (710 nucleotides) under uncultured bacterium. Its description in RNAcentral is "bacterial SSU rRNA". It matches the Rfam family "Bacterial small subunit ribosomal RNA", at positions 94 to 823 of the family's 1533-position model. The record is from RNAcentral.